GUAGUCUCGCACAGAUGCAUAUCAAUAAGCGGAGGAAAAGAAACUAACAAGGAUUCCCUUAGUAACGGCGAGUGAAGCGGGAAGAGCUCAAAUUUGAAAUCUUCAAGGGUUUACCUUUACGAAUUGUAGUUUAAAGAAGUGUUUUCUGUUGAAGUUUUGGUAAAAGUUCUUUGGAAUAGGACAUCAUAGAGGGUGAGGAUCCCGUAUUUGACCAUUAUUUUCAGCUGUGUGAUACACUUUCAAAGAGUCGGAUUGUUUGGGAAUGCAGUCCAAAAUGGGUGGUAAAUUUCAUCUAAAGCUAAAUAUUGGCGAGAGACCGAUAGCGAACAAGUACCGUGAGGGAAAGAUGAAAAGAACUUUGAAAAGAGAGUUAAACAGUACGUGAAAUUGUCAAAAGGGAAGCGUUUGACACCAGUGUUGUUUUCUCGAAAAUCAAUUAAAAAGAGUUUGAUUUUGUUGUGUAUUGACCUUAACAGCUUGCAUUUCAAUUUUCUUGCUUUUUUUAAUGCACUUUUCGUUUAACAAGUCAACAUCAGUUUCUUUUGUUGUAAAAAGGUCAUUGGAAGGUGGCUUUCUUUUCGGAGAAAGUGUUUAUAGCCUUUGACUCCUGCAAUCGGAGAGACUGAGGUCUGCAGCGUAGAUCCUUCGGGGUUAGAUACAUUUGUGCUAAGUUAUAGCUUUUUAUAGACAACUUGUUGACUAUGAUUAGUCUUGUAGCUUACUCGCUUAUGCUAUUUUACCUACGCUUAGGAUGUUGAGCGCAUGUCUCUCUCU
RNAcentral lists this ribosomal RNA (774 nucleotides) under uncultured Neocallimastigales. RNAcentral's name for it is "partial large subunit ribosomal RNA". It matches the Rfam family "Eukaryotic large subunit ribosomal RNA", at positions 24 to 616 of the family's 3401-position model. The record is from RNAcentral. Lineage: Eukaryota; Fungi; Neocallimastigomycota; Neocallimastigomycetes; Neocallimastigales.